CUCUCAUCUUCGCUUCUAUUCCAGUUUAUCCUCCUCCUAACCCCCUCCCUCUGAUUCCCUCCCUCUAACCGCCUCUCUCUGACACUCUCCUCCUGACUCCCUCCCUUUGAGAAACAUCUACUUAGCUUCAUUUAUCACUUUGUCUCUUCAAUUCUUGUCAGCCAUGGCGUUCUCUGAUGCGAGGAAGGAGCUGGACUGUUCCAUCUGUCUGCACAUUUAUACCAAUCCUGUGACACUGAGAUGUGGACACAACUUCUGCCAGGAAUGUAUAGAAGAUGUUCUGGAUAGACAUGGGAGGUCUGGAAUUUAUUGCUGUCCUGAAUGCAGAGAACAAUUCCAGGUGCGGCCUCAACUUAGCAGGAACAUAACACUGCGCAACAUAGUGGAGAGUUUCCGAUCUACCGCGCAAGAGAAGAAGGAGGAGAAGAAGGAGAGCCAGAUCUUCUGUACACAAUGUAUUCACUCUCCUGUAAUUGCUGUUAAAUCUUGUCUGCAUUGUGAAGCUUCUCUGUGUGACGAUCAUCUGAGAGUCCACAGCAAGUCACCCCAACAUGUCCUAUCUGACCUUACCACUCCCCAGAAGAACAGGAAAUGCUCCGUCCAUGAGAAGAUCCUGGAGUAUUACUGCACAGAGGACUCGGCCUGUCUCUGUGGGUCCUGCAGGCUGCAUGGAGACCAUCAGGAACACCAGGUGGAGGCUCUGGAGGAGGCCUCUGAGAAGAGGAAGGAGAACCUGACCAAUGCUCUGCAGAAGUUGGUUAAAAAGAGAGAGGAGAUGGAGGAAAGCAUCAAGAGUCUGCAGAAGUACAAGAGAAAAGUACAAGACGAUGCAGACGGUGUAACCAAGAGAGUCACCGCCAUAUUCAGAGACAUCAGGAGACAACUGGACAUCCUGGAGAAGAGAAUUCUUAAUAAGAUAUCCAGGCAGGCGGAGAAAGCCUCAUUCCCACCCUCUGAUUUAAUUCAGGAUCUGGAGAUAAAGAAGGACAAUCUGUCCAGGAAGAUUCGUCACAUCGAGGAGAUAUGUAACAUGACGGACCCACUGACUUUCCUACAGGAAUCGGACACAGGUGACUUGUGUGAUACUGAGGAUGGAGAUGAGAAGGACAAAAAGAGAUGCGAUAAACUUCUUAAUGGUGGGGGGGAUCUGAUUGCGACUGAGAUCUUGCCCCUAUUACAUACAGGAUUAUACGAUAUAGUAACAGGGGUAAAUAAAGGGAUAAACAUACCAGAACCUGCAGAAAUAACACUGGAUGAAGACACGGCUCAUAAUAAUGUAUAUCUUAUAGAUGACAGAAAGGCCGCACGCUGGAUAACCAGAAACCUAAAUCGCCCUCAGUUACCAAACAGAUUUACAAUAUUGCCUCAGGUGUUGAGCAGUCAGAGUUUCUCCUCAGGGAGACAUUACUGGGAUGUGGAUGUUGGGGGAUCGUCACAGUGGAGAGUCGGGAUGUGUUUCCCCAGUAUAGACAAGGCACAAUACUAUGCAGACCUUGGAAAUAAUCCUGUGUCCUGGUGUCUGGAGAGGAACGCCAAUCAGUUGUUAGUGAAGCAUGGCUACAAUUCUGCAACCCCUUUAGCUGGUAAUGUCUCAGUAACCAAAGUCAGAAUAAGUCUGGAUUACGAGGCCGGGCAGAUCUCAUUUUUUGAAUUAGGUAUCCCGAUCCGACACCUCCACACCUUCACCGCCACCUUCACUGAACCGAUGCAUGCUGCCUUAUAUCUAGGUGAGGGUUGUAUAAAGAUAUGUGGAGAGAAUCAGGAGGUUUGACACAUUUAUCCCAAGACUGGCGACAUCACCGGCAUUCUGAUUGGUUCACCUAGGAUCAUAUAUAAUCCAUACAGAUGAUUUAUAUAUGAUCCCAGGUCCGCCUAGUGUCCACCUUCCCCCUACUGGCAGAUGCUGUGGUCACUGACAACUCAGAUUUCAGACAACAGCUCCCAGCAUGCCUCAGAACAUGGCUGCACAAGUCUUACCAAGCAGCGCAACAUGGAUUUAUCAAAAGAAAACAUUUUUAAUAAAACACAUAGAUAAGGUAACUGAUAUAUAAUCCAUAUAAUAGUUUAUUGGUGUUAAAUUUGAAUGGAGCACCUAGGGCUGCCUCUAUCCAAAAUCCCAACCUUCUCUUCCUUGUGGUUAUGGCAGCAGUAUUGUGUUAUUAGACAGAAUUAUACAGAGCUCACAUACUAGUUCUCUUUAACUUGCUCGCUGCUUUUCCCAGAAGCUUGCACAGAGCUGGAGGUUCAAUGGCAGACAAGCCCUGCAGUGUUUUACCAUUAGUGCUCCUUCUCUGAUGGGAUACCUGCAACAAAUCCUUUGUGUUGAAAUGGGGACGGGUAUAGAGGGGGGUAAUUAUGGUUGGCAGACCCUUUCAAUUACCACCUCCUUUACUGAAAGCACAGUCAUCCCUUAUCUAUAUCUACAGAACAGAAGCAGAAAGCAAUCUCAGAUAGCACUUCAUAAAAUGAUUUUAUUGUAUAGAGAUGACCUAGAUGAGAUUGUUCCCUAUUAUAUAAAGUGAACCUGUCAUUUCCCCACUCAGGACAAAGUAAUUGGUUUUCUUAUAACUUUUCUGCCACUAAGACCCCGUUCCCAUCUGAGCGAUUUGGAAUCGCAGGCAGAAACAGUAUAAUAUUGUCCGUGUUUCCAGAUGUCGCCAAAAUUGCGACAAAAUCUGCAACAUGCUUUUGUGUGCCAUACCUUCUGAAUGACAUCCCAAACGUGAUGCAAUUUUGCCGCAGUUGAUGUUAGAAAAAAUUGCGCGAAAAUCACAGCAAACCGCACGUGAAAAGACGCGCCUGGCUUAGUGCCAAAUUUUGGUAUCACUUCAAGUAUGACUAUUCUAAUAUAUCACCAUUAUAGAGCAUUCUGUGACGGUGUAUCAUUAUCAUAAUAAUCCAUACGCCACUAUAUUCCUCUUCUAAUGUAACAUUGUUAUAAUCUAUUCUGUUCCAAUGUAUCAUUAUUAUGAACAUUUACUGCUCUGCUGGAUUACUAUUAUAAUCUAUCACUAUUAAUAAGAACAGGUAUUCCAAUGUAUUACUAUUAUUAUCACCAAUCUAAUCUAUAACUAUUAAUAAGAACAGGUAUUGCAUUGUAUCUUUAUUAUUAUCACUAAUCUACUCGCUAUUAAUAGGAACAGGUAUUCCAAUGUAUCGCUAUUAUCAUCCCUUUUCCAAUGUAUCACUAUUAAUAAGAAUAGGUAUUCCCAGGGCUAAGACACGGGGUGGGCAGAGGGGAUGCUUUCCCCAGGCACAUCAGUGUACUAUAGAGAUGGGGGCGCUGUGUGGUGAUCUCAUUUUGGUUACAAGGCUGUCAGGAGGAGUGACAGUGGCAUCACCACUCCCGUCCGCCCAGUUUUGAAAGCGGCAAGGAGCGAAAGAGAUAGAGCACAGCCCGUGCCUCCUUCCAGCUAUCUCCCCGUCCUCCUUCCUGUCAGUGCAGCACUCCUGGAUUCAAAAGCUGACAAGGGUGGUCACAGGAAUACAGGAGAUGCAAUGAAAGGAGGGAGGAGGAGGAGGAGAGAAUCCCGUUUUUGCUGACAAGCACACCAGUGCAUGUGGUUGCAGGGCAUUUGCCAUGCUUCCCCAUUCGCCAAAAUGUGUCACGUUUGGCAGGCUGAGCACUACAGGUAUUUAUUGCCAUGGGCAUGAUGCAAAGCACAUGAUCACGGCAUGUAAAUCCCCCAUCCACUGCCUAUUGCAGCUUAAGAGUGUGGGUGGGAGGAGGUAAAAAUGCAGCUCAAUCACACAUUGUAGCGUGGGGAUAUGUAGUAUUGGAUUGUUCCGGUGUCCACCAGCGGGUGUCUACCAGUAGCAAAGAGAAAAGGGUGGUCCCUGGAAGUCGCACAUCCAAGAUGUCCUAGAAAGGUGAGGAGCAUGACAACCUCAGCCUGUACUCCAACCAGGCCACGUUCCCAACGUGUUUCUCUCCGCCCCCGGAGCUUAGUCAUGGGGAUCCCCAUGACUAAGCCCCGGGGGGGACAGAGUGAAAAAUGUUGGGGGCGUGGUCUGGUUGGAGUCCAGAUGUUGCCACUCUCUUCACCUCUCUAGGACAUCUUGGAUGUGCGACUUCCAAGGGCCACCCUUUUUUUGUUUGUACUCUUGCAGAAGCCAGGAUGGGCUCCAUCCCCUGGCUGUCAGCCCUCCAGACAGCAGCUGUGAGUGCACCAUCUGCAUACCCCCUUUUUGCUUAGCCUGAGCGGCACACACAUUUUUUUUUCCAGGUCACACUGUGUCUCCCAGUAGCCAGAAAAUCUCCACCUGAUGCUGGCUGCUGGGAAGGUAUAUACACCCUCCCAUAGUUUCCCUUACUAGCUCAGUGUUUUGUCUGUGUGCCAUGUAGCUGGUUAUUGAUGUGCUGCUCCUGACCUUGAUCCUGGUUCCUGCUGUAAACCUGUUCCAGUACCGGCAUCCUGUACCCUGCUACUUCAUAUCUGCUCUCCUUGUUCCUGAACCCAGUUCUGGCCCCCUUCCUGAUCCCUCUUCUUGCUGCUCCUGUCUAACCCUGUUUAUCCGUGUUCCCCCUUUUUGUAUACAGUAUUUAGUAUUAUAGUUAGGUUUUGUGUCCCUUGGUUUACCGUUCCUGUAUAUUGUCACAUUUCCUUGUAUUGUGUUUGCUGGUGUUGGUUGGGUUUUGCUUCAUUAAUAAAUCUUUCUUUAAUCACACAAA
RNA transcript from Rana temporaria (common frog), 4672 nucleotides. It is a transcript of the gene named putative tripartite motif-containing protein 75, with no coding region annotated. Lineage: Eukaryota; Metazoa; Chordata; Amphibia; Anura; Ranidae. The record is from RefSeq and is a predicted model, not a curated record. The transcript has 3 exons.